UUAAGCGACUAAGCGUACACGGUGGAUGCCCUGGCAGUCAGAGGCGAUGAAGGACGUGCUAAUCUGCGAUAAGCGUCGGUAAGGUGAUAUGAACCGUUAUAACCGGCGAUUUCCGAAUGGGGAAACCCAGUGUGUUUCGACACACUAUCAUUAACUGAAUCCAUAGGUUAAUGAGGCGAACCGGGGGAACUGAAACAUCUAAGUACCCCGAGGAAAAGAAAUCAACCGAGAUUCCCCCAGUAGCGGCGAGCGAACGGGGAGGAGCCCAGAGCCUGAAUCAGUGUGUGUGUUAGUGGAAGCGUCUGGAAAGGCGCGCGAUACAGGGUGACAGCCCCGUACACAAAAAUGCACAUGCUGUGAGCUCGAUGAGUAGGGCGGGACACGUGGUAUCCUGUCUGAAUAUGGGGGGACCAUCCUCCAAGGCUAAAUACUCCUGACUGACCGAUAGUGAACCAGUACCGUGAGGGAAAGGCGAAAAGAACCCCGGCGAGGGGAGUGAAAAAGAACCUGAAACCGUGUACGUACAAGCAGUGGGAGCACGCUUCGGCGUGUGACUGCGUACCUUUUGUAUAAUGGGUCAGCGACUUAUAUUCUGUAGCAAGGUUAACCGAAUAGGGGAGCCGAAGGGAAACCGAGUCUUAACUGGGCGUUAAGUUGCAGGGUAUAGACCCGAAACCCGGUGAUCUAGCCAUGGGCAGGUUGAAGGUUGGGUAACACUAACUGGAGGACCGAACCGACUAAUGUUGAAAAAUUAGCGGAUGACUUGUGGCUGGGGGUGAAAGGCCAAUCAAACCGGGAGAUAGCUGGUUCUCCCCGAAAGCUAUUUAGGUAGCGCCUCGUGAAUUCAUCUCCGGGGGUAGAGCACUGUUUCGGCAAGGGGGUCAUCCCGACUUACCAACCCGAUGCAAACUGCGAAUACCGGAGAAUGUUAUCACGGGAGACACACGGCGGGUGCUAACGUCCGUCGUGAAGAGGGAAACAACCCAGACCGCCAGCUAAGGUCCCAAAGUCAUGGUUAAGUGGGAAACGAUGUGGGAAGGCCCAGACAGCCAGGAUGUUGGCUUAGAAGCAGCCAUCAUUUAAAGAAAGCGUAAUAGCUCACUGGUCGAGUCGGCCUGCGCGGAAGAUGUAACGGGGCUAAACCAUGCACCGAAGCUGCGGCAGCGACGCUGAUGCGUUGUUGGGUAGGGGAGCGUUCUGUAAGCCUGCGAAGGUGUGCUGUGAGGCAUGCUGGAGGUAUCAGAAGUGCGAAUGCUGACAUAAGUAACGAUAAAGCGGGUGAAAAGCCCGCUCGCCGGAAGACCAAGGGUUCCUGUCCAACGUUAAUCGGGGCAGGGUGAGUCGACCCCUAAGGCGAGGCCGAAAGGCGUAGUCGAUGGGAAACAGGUUAAUAUUCCUGUACUUGGUGUUACUGCGAAGGGGGGACGGAGAAGGCUAUGUUGGCCGGGCGACGGUUGUCCCGGUUUAAGCGUGUAGGCUGGUUUUCCAGGCAAAUCCGGAAAAUCAAGGCUGAGGCGUGAUGACGAGGCACUACGGUGCUGAAGCAACAAAUGCCCUGCUUCCAGGAAAAGCCUCUAAGCAUCAGGUAACAUCAAAUCGUACCCCAAACCGACACAGGUGGUCAGGUAGAGAAUACCAAGGCGCUUGAGAGAACUCGGGUGAAGGAACUAGGCAAAAUGGUGCCGUAACUUCGGGAGAAGGCACGCUGAUAUGUAGGUGAGGUCCCUCGCGGAUGGAGCUGAAAUCAGUCGAAGAUACCAGCUGGCUGCAACUGUUUAUUAAAAACACAGCACUGUGCAAACACGAAAGUGGACGUAUACGGUGUGACGCCUGCCCGGUGCCGGAAGGUUAAUUGAUGGGGUUAGCCGCAAGGCGAAGCUCUUGAUCGAAGCCCCGGUAAACGGCGGCCGUAACUAUAACGGUCCUAAGGUAGCGAAAUUCCUUGUCGGGUAAGUUCCGACCUGCACGAAUGGCGUAAUGAUGGCCAGGCUGUCUCCACCCGAGACUCAGUGAAAUUGAACUCGCUGUGAAGAUGCAGUGUACCCGCGGCAAGACGGAAAGACCCCGUGAACCUUUACUAUAGCUUGACACUGAACAUUGAGCCUUGAUGUGUAGGAUAGGUGGGAGGCUUUGAAGUGUGGACGCCAGUCUGCAUGGAGCCGACCUUGAAAUACCACCCUUUAAUGUUUGAUGUUCUAACGUUGACCCGUAAUCCGGGUUGCGGACAGUGUCUGGUGGGUAGUUUGACUGGGGCGGUCUCCUCCUAAAGAGUAACGGAGGAGCACGAAGGUUGGCUAAUCCUGGUCGGACAUCAGGAGGUUAGUGCAAUGGCAUAAGCCAGCUUGACUGCGAGCGUGACGGCGCGAGCAGGUGCGAAAGCAGGUCAUAGUGAUCCGGUGGUUCUGAAUGGAAGGGCCAUCGCUCAACGGAUAAAAGGUACUCCGGGGAUAACAGGCUGAUACCGCCCAAGAGUUCAUAUCGACGGCGGUGUUUGGCACCUCGAUGUCGGCUCAUCACAUCCUGGGGCUGAAGUAGGUCCCAAGGGUAUGGCUGUUCGCCAUUUAAAGUGGUACGCGAGCUGGGUUUAGAACGUCGUGAGACAGUUCGGUCCCUAUCUGCCGUGGGCGCUGGAGAACUGAGGGGGGCUGCUCCUAGUACGAGAGGACCGGAGUGGACGCAUCACUGGUGUUCGGGUUGUCAUGCCAAUGGCACUGCCCGGUAGCUAAAUGCGGAAGAGAUAAGUGCUGAAAGCAUCUAAGCACGAAACUUGCCCCGAGAUGAGUUCUCCCUGACCCUUUAAGGGUCCUGAAGGAACGUUGAAGACGACGACGUUGAUAGGCCGGGUGUGUAAGCGCAGCGAUGCGUUGAGCUAACCGGUACUAAUGAACCGUGAGGCUUAACCUU
This 2904-nucleotide ribosomal RNA is filed under the name Escherichia coli. Its description in RNAcentral is "23S ribosomal RNA". It matches the Rfam family "Bacterial large subunit ribosomal RNA". Lineage: Bacteria; Pseudomonadati; Pseudomonadota; Gammaproteobacteria; Enterobacterales; Enterobacteriaceae. The record is from RNAcentral.